Molecule: long non-coding RNA, 344 nt
Filed under: Olea europaea subsp. europaea
Lineage: Eukaryota; Viridiplantae; Streptophyta; Magnoliopsida; Lamiales; Oleaceae
Source: RNAcentral
GCGGAGGAAGAGGCAAGCCUGGAGGAAGUGGAGGUCGCGGCGGUGGUGAUUCCUGAGGUGGACGAGAGGAGGAUGACCGUCGUGACUGAAGCUAAAAAGCAUGCUGUCGACGUGCCGGAGUUGGUGGUGGGCAAGAGCCCAAGAGUGUCGUCACAUUACAUCGUCUCUCCCUUCACGAUUGAGACGAAUAGGAGGAGGUUCGUCGACCGGACGUGCCCCAAUCUGUUCCAGGAGGUCGACCAUGCCAAAUGGUAAGCAUUCGAGACUGAGUGGCAAAAAGUAUUACCCAAGUAAGUAUUGUAUGAUUUAUAUGACUGAUACUACAACUUAGUGUUGCAAAGUGG